UUUUAUGAAAGACUGCUUCUCUAAUUUCCAAAUAGAGUCAAAUUCACUGUUAUGUAGUUCACACAUACAAGGGAAGGUUUUGAAACAAGCAAAUUUAUACUUCUCUACUGUGAUUGGAUUAUAAUUGCUUGCUUUCUUUACUUAUUUAUUUGUUUGUUUGUUUGUUUAUUUAUUUAUUUUUGGAGCGAGAGAGAAUCUUAAGCAGGCUCCACACCCAGUGUGGAAGCCAACGUAGGGCUUUAUCUGAGGACUCUGUGUUCAUGAUCUGAGCUGAAAUCAAGAGUCUGAUGCUUAACCAGCACAUUGCUAGACCACAAUCACAUUUGUGUUUACUUGGAGCCAAAUAACUCCUACCAAAGGAAUGUGAGUGAAAGGGUUGUGUUAUCAACUCAUGGAGUGAAAAGAGGGAAAGAGCAAGCCUGCCAGCUGGAGAGCAGAGGGGCAGGCAGGGAGGGAGGAAGAAAACCCAAGCAGGCUCCACACCUAGCAUGGAGCCCAACAUGGGGCUCAAUCUCAUACCCUGAGAUCAUAAUCUGAGUUGAUAUUGAGAGUCACUUAACUGACUAAGCCACCCAGCUGUCCCUGCUCUUAUAUUUUCAUAAUGCAAAGCUACUAGCUACUCUCAAGAAAUAAAACAGAGAAAGAACUUCCAUUAGUCACUGUAAAAAAGGAGUUACACACACAUAUGGAUGUAUCAAAAGUAUGUUCUUGAUGCUCAGAUGACUCAUUAACAUAUUUUUUAUCUUCCACAAUAUCUACAAACUUUGCAUUAACUCUGUGGGACCCAGGAUAUUUAACAAAAAUCCCCUACCCCUGGACAAGCAGAGCAGGAACUCCAUUUUGUGCUGCACCCGCCACCUCCUGUAUGACCCCCACAUGACCUGCUUAUUGCUUAAGGCGCUGCCCCACCCUAGUCAAGCUGCUGAGCACACCCUUAUCGGAAAUCCGUUCAUAACAAUGUAACCCCGCCUUGUGCCCUCAAGACUGUGUGCCAAUUCUGACCAGAGUGAUAGGCCAGCUCAAAUGGUCACUAUAGGGUUAAUUGUGAUUCAAUUGGCCACGCGUGCAGACCUACAUGACUGUGCAACUUUCUAUGUGUGUUACAAUCCCAUUGGCCACUGGCCCCUAUAACGCUGCUACCCCUCUUAGCCUCGGGAUUCAAGUCCCUGCUCAGCUGUGUCGGGUAUACUUGGACCCAAGCUCCAGCUUGUAAAUAAGCCCUCCUGUGUUUGCAUCGGUGUCGGCUCCUUGGUGGUUUCUCGGAUUCGCAAUCUUGGGCACAACAAACUUUAGGCCCAAUCUUGUGGAAUACUAUUUUUUUUUUCUGUUUACUCUUUACUCUCAAUACAGCGUUCAUAUACUGUAUUAGUUGAGGUUAAGCAGUUUAUGACUGCCAUUCAUUUUUGGAUCUCCAUGGUGAAGCUUGUUAAUAAAAAUAUUCUAUUUCAUUACAUGCAUAGGAAAAUAAAAUAUGCUCAAUUCAAUUCAGUUACAUAGGUUCAACUCAAAAGUUUAAAAUAUAACCCAUCUCCUCAGUUUUGAUUCCUGAUUAACUAGAAAAUUGGCCCUCUUCAUACAAUUCUUUCUUCAUACAUUUUGUAUUAAAAUUUCACAACAAAAACUAGUUUUAAAAUAAAGGAACACUUAUCAUCAUGAAUUUUAUGUAGUAGCAAAAUAAUAACAACAAUAAUAAUAAUAAAAUGUGGCAGUUUCCAUGUACAUACAUAUUUCAAGUAGAAUAAAAGUAUGGAGUUUGAAUUUGAAAACCAAAAUUAGUAUCACUUUUGUCACUUGUUUAUGUAACCAAGAAGCAAGUCUUUAUUUUUUAUUUUUAUUUUUUUUUUAGAAGCAAGCCUUUAAUCAUUACUUAACCCUCAGUGUCUUCAUCUGCAAAGUGUAUGAUUUGUUACAGUUCAGGCAUAAAGAUUUGUUAUAAACUGUUCAAGGAAUAUAUACUAAACUGUGACUCUUGAUCUGUGUAUUUUCUAUUCCGUAAAGUAUUGCUUUACUAUGAUUUCACUCUAAUAUAAAAUGACCACAUUAUAAUUUUUUUAUUUUGAAUUUUACAAUAAAUGUGUCUAUACUUAUGGAACAUUCUAAAUAAGACAAAAUAGCAAAAAUAUUUAAAAUGCUUAAGCAAGAUUAUGUCAUGAAAUGAAAGGCAUUAUUCCAUGCAAUACUCAUUCACAUGCAACUAACUACUCAUUCAACAUUCACAAAUUAUAUAAGGUAGAUGUUUCUAUCAUCUUCAUUUAACAAAUGGAGAAACCAAGGAAAGGAAUGUUUUAAUAUACUUGCAUGACUAAUAACCAUCAAAAACAGUUUGAUGCACCACCAGUUUGCACUCAGAUUCUAUGCUCUUGGCAACACCAUUUCACACAUUUCACUCAUAAUUAUUAAUAAUUGUUUUAUUUAUAUAAAUAGGUAGGUCUAGAAAAAAUAAAGUACAACUCUUUAAACCUUUUGACUACCCAAAUGAGAGAGGAAAAUAACUAUUCUUUGCCUGAAUGAGUAUUUUAUUUUACAUAGCCAGUGCCAAUUUUAAUAGCUUCAUAAAAAUGUAAUUGUUAAAAAAAUAAAAUGUUCUAAGUAUUGGUUUAUUUGAACUAGUAACUGCAAACAUCGUCUUUUAGUUGUACACCACAUUACCCUUUCAAUACAUAUACAUCCUAUUUGAAAUUGAAUUUGCUAUGGUAAUUAAACAUCAAUUCUGAAUUUUAAAAUAGAUCAUAUAAUAAAAUUUUCACACAGAUAGGGUCUUCAAGAUGAUUCUGCAAAACUGUUCUGCUUUUAAAUAAAAUAAACAAUUCAUGAUAUUAAAACAGAACACAUCAUGAAACAAUUUUACUCCACUUUUUCUGCCAUACUUAUAUUUAAAACUAUGUUAUGAUAUAAAGAGAAGAGAUUCACAAGAAGAGACUACUGGUAAUAAAUUUUCUUCUGUAGAAGGGAUGCAAUAAUGUGUUGUUUAAAUACAGCAUUAACAUUCUAUGAUUUGGGACUAAGCCAAUAAUUUUCUGCCAGAUGAAACAAAGAAAAAAAGCCAAUACUGUUUUUCCUUUUGGAGUUUUGUUUUUAUUUGCUGAUUGUAUGCAUGAGGUGACAAAACAUGCUUUUAAGGACUUUGUUAGCUCAUUAAGCAUAGACUGUUAUUGUAAAUCAGUUAGAAACCUUUAAAUAUAAAA
Canis lupus familiaris (dog) is the source of this 3185-nucleotide long non-coding RNA. RefSeq lists it as uncharacterized. Lineage: Eukaryota; Metazoa; Chordata; Mammalia; Carnivora; Canidae. The transcript is spliced from 3 exons. The record is from RefSeq and is a predicted model, not a curated record.